GGGCUCAGGCAAUCGCUCUGCUUCUUAAUGGAGCAGAGAGGAAAGUCCAUGCUCACACAGCCUGAAAUGGCUGUAGUGUUCGUGCUUGACGAAACCAUAAGUCAAGGCAGUAUUGUAUACUGACGGCGAUUGGAACACCUACGUAUCCUCUGAGGGUAUAUGGUCGACCAUCUGAAAGUGCCACAGUGACGUAGUCUUCUCGGAAACGAGAAGAGUGGAACGAGGUAAACCCCGCGAGUGAGAAACCCAAAAAUAUGGUAGGGGCAUUUCUGUAACGGAAACGUUAGAAGAAGGCGGCUUUUAGCCGCAGAUAGAUGAUUGCCAUCGUCAUGUGAGGUGAAUAGCCGCAGCACGACGAUACAGAACAUGGCUUAUCGAG
RNAcentral lists this RNase P RNA (379 nucleotides) under Geomicrobium sp. JCM 19039. RNAcentral's name for it is "Bacterial RNase P class B". It matches the Rfam family "Bacterial RNase P class B". From Rfam's summary of the family: Ribonuclease P (RNase P) is a ubiquitous endoribonuclease, found in archaea, bacteria and eukarya as well as chloroplasts and mitochondria. Lineage: Bacteria; Bacillati; Bacillota; Bacilli; Caryophanales. The record is from Rfam by way of RNAcentral.